This 253-nucleotide ribosomal RNA is filed under the name uncultured bacterium. Its description in RNAcentral is "partial 16S ribosomal RNA". It matches the Rfam family "Bacterial small subunit ribosomal RNA", at positions 524 to 776 of the family's 1533-position model. The record is from RNAcentral.
UACGUAGGGACCAAGCGUUGUUCGGAUUUACUGGGCGUAAAGGGCGCGUAGGCGGCGUGGUAAGCCACUUGUGAAAUCUCUGAGCUUAACUCAGAACGGCCAAGUGAUACUGCUGUGCUAGAGUGCAGAAGGGGCAAUCGGAAUUCUUGGUGUAGCGGUGAAAUGCGUAGAUAUCAAGAGGAACACCUGAGGUGAAGACGGGUUGCUGGGCUGACACUGACGCUGAGGCGCGAAAGCCAGGGGAGCAAACGGG